Gallus gallus (chicken) is the source of this 363-nucleotide long non-coding RNA. NCBI's taxonomy places the organism in Eukaryota, Metazoa, Chordata, Aves, Galliformes, Phasianidae. The record is from Ensembl.
AGUAAAGUCUAUGGACCAAAUUGAGAAGGAUGUUAUCCUGAAGCAUGCAAACAGAAAGGGGGCUUGCUUUAGGAAACCCCAGACUCCCAGUGGCUUCAGUUAAGGACAUGAAGAUCAAGAUCUUUUCUUACCAGUGUCAGAUUACUCCACUGUGAAGUCUGUGAGAACUGAGGCUUCUAAUGCACGAUAUUAUACUCACGUAGUGUCUACCCCACCCAGAUCCAGAAAGAUCACUACUUACAACUUGCCUGAUGUAACAGAGAUGUGAGAGGAUGGUGAGGCUGAUUGAUCUCAGUGGAAUUCCAGGGUCACAGCCUGAACCAAUGGGUGGGCUAUGUGAGUGUGUAAGUGCGGCAGCGCGAC